This 578-nucleotide long non-coding RNA is filed under the name Junco hyemalis (dark-eyed junco). Its description in RNAcentral is "lncRNA (ENSJHYG00000014969.1)". Lineage: Eukaryota; Metazoa; Chordata; Aves; Passeriformes; Passerellidae. The record is from RNAcentral.
CUUUGGGAAAUACUCUCAGCUACUGACGAAAAUGGAGCUACUGAUUGAUUUAGGGCUUUGUCUAAUUUAGCAUAUUGAAUUAUUUCAGGCCCACAAGAAGGAGGAGGAUAUGCUGAUGACAGCAUGUUCAGGCCUGUGUAUUCAACCAAUGUGUUAGACUAGGGAUCCGUGCCAGACACAGCACUUGGCCAUGCAAAGUGAUGCUCCCAAACAGGGCAUUGGAGGAGACUCAGCUCAGCAAAGCUGCAGGUAGAGCAGAGCUCAUUGCCACUGUUUUCCAUAUGUUCCUCUCUAUGGGGGCCUGACUGGACCUCGACCUGAGGAGGAUGCGAAACGGAAACUUAAUGGAGAAGCAAGUCCCACCCCCAGGACUUUUUGUCAGAAGCACGGCAAGGAACUUCAGUUUGGCUUUCAAAAGUGCUGAACACCCAAAACUCCUACCAAGGCUUCCUGGAAUUACAGCUCAAAAAUCCAGGUCUUGGGAUGAAGUGCAGAAGCUGAAGCCUGCUAGCCGGUUGACUGUUCAUACAAGAUACUCUUCGAAUGUUCAUAGCUAUAGUCAGAGGACAGCCAGAUAA